CCAGCCUCUCGGGAGUACAUGGCCCGCCGGAGGUUCUUCCUCUCCAGCGCGGUCAGGUUCUCCUCCACGGUCUCCUGGAGCGGGAACCAACAGGGUCAACAUUUCGGGGUGGAGCAUGCAGCUAAGAGCCCCCGUCAGGUUGUGGACAGACGCGCGCCAUCUCUACCCAGAGAGCACACAGGACUUCCCCCCAGAGGCGGUUUGGAAAUGGCAGACUGCCACACGAUCGGCCAGCAUUACCCAGCGUCUCCCUACAGCGCAACGCCACCUGGUUCCUGCCAGGCGUCAUCGUCCAAAAGUGGCCGUGAGACCAGGCUGGGGUCCUCACCUCGAUGCAGAUGUGGUCCUCCAGGGCCCGGGGGGCAGCACCUUCCUGGUCGCACGGAGGCCCGUAGCUGUUCCACUCCUCCCUGGCCGGGUGCUUGCGGUUCACCAC
This is a long non-coding RNA of Anguilla rostrata (American eel), 436 nucleotides long. RefSeq lists it as uncharacterized. NCBI's taxonomy places the organism in Eukaryota, Metazoa, Chordata, Actinopteri, Anguilliformes, Anguillidae. The record is from RefSeq and is a predicted model, not a curated record. The transcript has 4 exons.